RNAcentral lists this ribosomal RNA (497 nucleotides) under uncultured bacterium. RNAcentral describes it as "partial 16S ribosomal RNA". It matches the Rfam family "Bacterial small subunit ribosomal RNA", at positions 30 to 523 of the family's 1533-position model. The record is from RNAcentral.
AUUGAACGCUGGCGGCAUGCCUUACACAUGCAAGUCGAACGGUAACGGGCCUUCGGGUGCCGACGAGUGGCGAACGGGUGAGUAAUGCAUCGGAACGUACCCAUUAGUGGGGGAUAACUCUCCGAAAGGAGGGCUAAUACCGCAUAUUCUGUGAGCAGGAAAGCAGGGGAUCGCAAGACCUUGCACUGAUGGAGCGGCCGAUGUCAGAUUAGCUAGUUGGUGAGGUAAAGGCUCACCAAGGCGACGAUCUGUAGCGGGUCUGAGAGGAUGAUCCGCCACACUGGAACUGAGACACGGUCCAGACUCCUACGGGAGGCAGCAGUGGGGAAUUUUGGACAAUGGGGGCAACCCUGAUCCAGCCAUGCCGCGUGAGUGAAGAAGGCCUUCGGGUUGUAAAGCUCUUUCGGCCGGGAAGAAAUCGCAUGGGUUAAUACCCUGUGUGGAUGACGGUACCGGAUAAGAAGCACCGGCUAACUACGUGCCAGCCGCCGCUGUAA